UACGUAGGGUGCAAGCGUUGUCCGGAAUCAUUGGGCGUAAAGCGCGCGUAGGCGGCCCGAUAAGUCCGCUGUAAAAGUCAACGGCUCAACUGUUGAAAGCCGGUGGAUACUGUCGGGCUAGAGUACGGAAGAGGCAAGUGGAAUUCUCGGUGUAGCGGUGAAAUGCGUAGAUAUCGAGAGGAACACCUGCGGCGAAGGCGGGUUGCUGGGCUGACACUGACGCUGAAGCGCGAAAGCUAGGGGAGCGAACGGG
Molecule: ribosomal RNA, 253 nt
Filed under: uncultured bacterium
Lineage: Bacteria
Description: partial 16S ribosomal RNA
Rfam family: Bacterial small subunit ribosomal RNA
Source: RNAcentral